RNAcentral lists this long non-coding RNA (564 nucleotides) under Sorghum bicolor (sorghum). Its description in RNAcentral is "long non-coding RNA (SBIC_LNC009215)". Lineage: Eukaryota; Viridiplantae; Streptophyta; Magnoliopsida; Poales; Poaceae. The record is from RNAcentral.
CACCCUGUGCAUCUUGGUUGCCCAUGGUUAGUAUGGUGAGGCAUGAUUCCUAGCCAUAAUUCCACCUACACCAGGAAUCAUGAUACCACGGUUUCUGACUGGCGUAAUACACCAUAGGAUACAAUGCGACUGGGUCGUCUUAUGUACAUGACCGUGGUAUCAUGAUUCCUGGUGUAAGUGGAAUUAUGACACUGGUAUCAUGAUUCCUGGUGUAGGUGGAAUUAUUUGGAACCCGUGGUUGAACUUUACCUUAAAAAGGGGCCGCAUAAUGCUCGGUACUCGGGUAGUAGCAGUCAUAAAGCAAUCACAGCUUCCAAAUGUUUCUUUCUCAUGCUCAUGUCUAAAUCUGUCAGCCAUUUAGCAGUAUUUUUCUUACUUUUUGUCAUGACUUAUCAGCCAAAUAAACAAGACAGUGCAACUUUUAGACUUCUGACUGGCUUGCUGGCUGUUAUUUUUUUUUCUAUAUGAGCUUUUGCAAUAGAUUUUAAGCUUCUCGGCACACCAAAGCCAGAAAAGCUUUCAGGGACAUAUUUUUCAGCUUUUAUUUUAGUUUAUUAUUUUUGC